GACUAUUGUUGUGUGCGCUUGUGAGGUUAAUCAGAGACUGCCGUAGCAAGUGAUGACUCAAAUUUUGCUGAUCGUUCGAAUUUUCUCCGCUGGAAAUAUACAGAAUAAAAACGAGAAUUGCGCAUGAAACUGAUUUGUAUGUAUGUGUAUAUGACUGUGUGGAUCAGUAGCUGUUUGAAUCGAAUGUAUGUAUGUAAACAAAAAAGUGUAACAAAAUUUAGACUAUAUACAUACAUACAUACAAUAUAAACUAUAAAUUGUUCAAUUAAAAAUACAAUAGUUUUUAAAUUCCAAGCCGUGCAAUGAAUUUCAUUCUAGUGCUUAAAAUGAAAUUAAAAAAAAUACACAAAUGAUAUACCUACAGUUCAGAUCUAGACUAGAGAUGGUGUAGCAUUGAUUUACAAAUUUUAAACAAAACAAAAAAAAGGAAAUUCUACCCCCCAAACGGAAAUAUACACAGUUCAAUUCAAAUACAUAUUUUCUAAACAACUUAGUUUGGUUUUUUGUAUAUAUUGUGGAUGAAUCUUCGAUUGACGAAACCUGGAUAAGGAUAUAAAUUUGUAACUCUCAAAAAAAUUUUAUAUGGUAGAUAUUUUAAAAUGCACUUUACCGCAUAUUGGAAAUAUUAUAUUUCAGAAUUCUGUUAUCUGCAUGACACUGUAAUGCAGUAAAUAAAAAAAUACGUACGUAUAUAUGAGAAAAAUAAAAACAUUUCUCGUUAUAUUUCAUCUCAACGUUCCUUAUAUUAAAAUACGAGUACUAAAUCUUUAACAA
Eupeodes corollae is the source of this 774-nucleotide long non-coding RNA. RefSeq lists it as uncharacterized. NCBI's taxonomy places the organism in Eukaryota, Metazoa, Arthropoda, Insecta, Diptera, Syrphidae. The transcript is spliced from 4 exons. The record is from RefSeq and is a predicted model, not a curated record.